This is a long non-coding RNA of Papaver somniferum (opium poppy), 710 nucleotides long. RefSeq lists it as uncharacterized. The transcript has 2 exons. NCBI's taxonomy places the organism in Eukaryota, Viridiplantae, Streptophyta, Magnoliopsida, Ranunculales, Papaveraceae. The record is from RefSeq and is a predicted model, not a curated record.
ACCAUCUCGUCCGUUUCUUCUAUCUCUUUUUUUUUUAUCAUCUCGUCCAUCUCGUCUCUGUCGUUCCAUUAAUGGGUUUUUACAGAAGUUGAUUGAACACAGAAGAGAAGAAAAAUGUGAUGUUUUUACAUAUAAGAUUAAGGUUUCAAUGAGAAUCGAUAAUGAGAUAAAGAUUAUGGGUCUGCGGUUUAGAGAAAUUGAAUGAAAUCAGGGAUAGUUGAUGGUCAUGGUUUCGAUCCGUGUGUUGAUUCAAACUGAACAGAAAGUUUCUUUGAAGGAUUUUGAUGCUUGGGUAUCCAUCAGCAGCUGAAAGCAAUCACCAGUUUGGGGCAAUUUUCUGCUUACCUUUUUUUUCCUCGUUUGAGCAAAUCUUAGUCAUCGUUUUGUUCUGUAUAACCCGUUUGAUAUAAUGUCUCACUAGAAAAUGUUAUGAAUUCCUUACUCUUAAAUCCACUUUAAGAUAAUUUUCUACUUUCUCACAGUAGUUAACUAGUUAUAGUGGUGAAGAAGAUAUGCUCUCGUUUGAACUACGAAUUCUGCAUGUAACUAGAGAUUUCUGAUCUCCAAUCCAGUUCACAAGUGAAAUUAUCAAAAGUUCAAUGUUAAUUUUCCUUAGCUACACUUCAUAUUUCUUGGCCCUGUCUCUUUUUAAACAUUUAUGAAACUCUUUUUUUAUUAAUAGUAAAAUGGGAAUGAUAUUAAGUUUCCCC